UUAAAUUGAAGAGUUUGAUCAUGGCUCAGAUUGAACGCUGGCGGCAGGCCUAACACAUGCAAGUCGAACGGUAACAGGAAGCAGCUUGCUGCUUUGCUGACGAGUGGCGGACGGGUGAGUAAUGUCUGGGAAACUGCCUGAUGGAGGGGGAUAACUACUGGAAACGGUGGCUAAUACCGCAUAACGUCGCAAGACCAAAGAGGGGGACCUUCGGGCCUCUUGCCAUCAGAUGUGCCCAGAUGGGAUUAGCUUGUUGGUGAGGUAACGGCUCACCAAGGCGACGAUCCCUAGCUGGUCUGAGAGGAUGACCAGCCACACUGGAACUGAGACACGGUCCAGACUCCUACGGGAGGCAGCAGUGGGGAAUAUUGCACAAUGGGCGCAAGCCUGAUGCAGCCAUGCCGCGUGUAUGAAGAAGGCCUUCGGGUUGUAAAGUACUUUCAGCGGGGAGGAAGGUGUUGUGGUUAAUAACCGCAGCAAUUGACGUUACCCGCAGAAGAAGCACCGGCUAACUCCGUGCCAGCAGCCGCGGUAAUACGGAGGGUGCAAGCGUUAAUCGGAAUUACUGGGCGUAAAGCGCACGCAGGCGGUCUGUCAAGUCGGAUGUGAAAUCCCCGGGCUCAACCUGGGAACUGCAUUCGAAACUGGCAGGCUUGAGUCUUGUAGAGGGGGGUAGAAUUCCAGGUGUAGCGGUGAAAUGCGUAGAGAUCUGGAGGAAUACCGGUGGCGAAGGCGGCCCCCUGGACAAAGACUGACGCUCAGGUGCGAAAGCGUGGGGAGCAAACAGGAUUAGAUACCCUGGUAGUCCACGCCGUAAACGAUGUCUACUUGGAGGUUGUGCCCUUGAGGCGUGGCUUCCGGAGCUAACGCGUUAAGUAGACCGCCUGGGGAGUACGGCCGCAAGGUUAAAACUCAAAUGAAUUGACGGGGGCCCGCACAAGCGGUGGAGCAUGUGGUUUAAUUCGAUGCAACGCGAAGAACCUUACCUGGUCUUGACAUCCACAGAACUUUCCAGAGAUGGAUUGGUGCCUUCGGGAACUGUGAGACAGGUGCUGCAUGGCUGUCGUCAGCUCGUGUUGUGAAAUGUUGGGUUAAGUCCCGCAACGAGCGCAACCCUUAUCCUUUGUUGCCAGCGGUUAGGCCGGGAACUCAAAGGAGACUGCCAGUGAUAAACUGGAGGAAGGUGGGGAUGACGUCAAGUCAUCAUGGCCCUUACGACCAGGGCUACACACGUGCUACAAUGGCGCAUACAAAGAGAAGCGACCUCGCGAGAGCAAGCGGACCUCAUAAAGUGCGUCGUAGUCCGGAUUGGAGUCUGCAACUCGACUCCAUGAAGUCGGAAUCGCUAGUAAUCGUGGAUCAGAAUGCCACGGUGAAUACGUUCCCGGGCCUUGUACACACCGCCCGUCACACCAUGGGAGUGGGUUGCAAAAGAAGUAGGUAGCUUAACCUUCGGGAGGGCGCUUACCACUUUGUGAUUCAUGACUGGGGUGAAGUCGUAACAAGGUAACCGUAGGGGAACCUGCGGUUGGAUCACCUCCUUACCUGAAAGAA
RNAcentral lists this ribosomal RNA (1554 nucleotides) under Salmonella enterica subsp. enterica serovar Saintpaul. RNAcentral describes it as "bacterial SSU rRNA". It matches the Rfam family "Bacterial small subunit ribosomal RNA". Lineage: Bacteria; Pseudomonadati; Pseudomonadota; Gammaproteobacteria; Enterobacterales; Enterobacteriaceae. The record is from RNAcentral.